CUUCCUACCCCUGUUGUUUCGUGUAAGUACGUGGCUCUGUAGCGUAUCUUGCCUUGUGUGUGCAAGAAGCGAAGUUAAAGGCCGAGUGAAGCGCCACUGAGCUGGGAACCCCGAGCUUGUUACCGUUGUGUGAACCCUGCUUGGUGAGUGAAUAAAGCGGACCCUGUGCAAAGACACAAACUGAGUGGGCGCCUUUAUAGUAAGCACGCGACGUGGAGUAACGCCAUACAGUAAAAUGGUCUCUGGAACGAGGUCACGGAGAGUCACGUGUGCACGAACAAGGGCUUCAUAAAACGGACAGGCAGGGAUAGCCAUCGGUGUUGAAAUGCAACGUGCUGGGGCGCUGAGUGGCUCAGUGGGUUAAGACUCUGCCUUCAGCGCAGGCCAUGAUCCCAGGGUCCUGGGAUCGAGCCCCGCAUCGGGCUCUCUGCUCAGCAAGGAGCCUGCUUCCCUUCCUCUCUCUGCCUGCCUCUCUGCCUACUUGGGAUCUCUGUCAAAUAAGUGAAUGAAAUCUUUGAGGCCCAGGAAGAGAUGAACAAAAAUAGCUAACAAUAAAAUAGAACAAUUAUGACAAUACGCUGUAAUAAAGGUGUUGUGAAUGUGCUUUCUCUCGCUCAAAAUAUUUUGUUAGCCCCUACUCACCUUCCCGCCACACGAGAAACAGCCGACGGCCUCCCUGAAGAGACGAGGAGGUAAAUGAUGCGGAUAACGGACGCCGCAGGCUUUGCCACGCAGCGUCUGGCUACGGUGGGCGUCUUGACGCUACGUCGGAGGGAGGAGCAUGCGCUACAGAGCCGUGGUGGGCGGCGGGUGACUGAAAGCAGGGAAAGUAAAACCACAAACAAGGGGACUGUGGGACGACUGGGAGAAAAGAAUCAUUAUGAGAUUGUCCAAGGUCUAAAGGAUUGUAAGAGGACAUCAGGUUGCCAAUGA
This 933-nucleotide long non-coding RNA is filed under the name Mustela putorius furo (domestic ferret). RNAcentral's name for it is "lncRNA (ENSMPUG00000024409.1)". Lineage: Eukaryota; Metazoa; Chordata; Mammalia; Carnivora; Mustelidae. The record is from RNAcentral.